UGGAGCAUGUGGUUAAUUCGAUGAUACGCGAGGAACCUUACCUGGGCUCAAAUGUAUGUUGACGUAUUCUGAAAGGGAUACUUCUUCGGACAAUAUACAAGGUGCUGCAUGGUUGUCGUCAGCUCGUGCCGUGAGGUGUCGGGUUAAGUCCCAUAACGAGCGCAACCCUAUCAUUAGUUGCCAUCAGGUCAAGCUGGGGACUCUAAUGAAACUGCCUACGCAAGUAGUGAGGAAGGUGGGGAUGACGUCAAAUCAGCACGGCCCUUACGUCCAGGGCUACACACGUGCUACAAUGGCCGGUACAAAGGGCAGCUACCUGGUGACAGGAUGCUAAUCUCAAAAGCCGGUCUCAGUUCGGAUCGGAGUCUGCAACCCGACUCCGUGAAGCUGGAAUCGCUAGUAAUCGUGAAUCAGAAUGUCACGGUGAAUACGUUCCCGGGCCUU
This 444-nucleotide ribosomal RNA is filed under the name uncultured Sphingobacteriales bacterium. Its description in RNAcentral is "bacterial SSU rRNA". It matches the Rfam family "Bacterial small subunit ribosomal RNA", at positions 933 to 1382 of the family's 1533-position model. Lineage: Bacteria; Pseudomonadati; Bacteroidota; Sphingobacteriia; Sphingobacteriales. The record is from RNAcentral.